GGCCGUCGGGCGGGAGCUGCAGUGGAGGAGGCGGGGAGAUGGCCGCACCCAGCUCGGCGCGGGGAGGGCAGUGCCGCAAUACCUUUAUGGGAGUUCUCUGCUGCCUCCUGUCUUCCAAGGCCCGCCCAGGGCCCAGAAGAAUCCCUCCCCUCGCCUGUGGUCUCGUCAUCGCCUCCAUGUCUAGUCGCCGCUGGUUCGUGGGCGGGAUUGUGUGCCACGGCUUCAGGGCGAACGUGGGGGCCUGGGCGUUGUCCUGCUAAGAAGCUGGACAGGUGUAGGGGUGGGCGGGCGGGCCCAGUUUCUGUGUCUUCCCAGGGACUGGCGUGGUGUCGGGGCGUUCGCCCGCGGUUAGUUUUAUGCAGCGAGACUGCAGGUUAUUACCGAGGAUGACCUGGAGGUUUUUCCUGGAAGUAGAGGGAAGGUAGCUUUGUCCCUCGAUCACCGGAGGUGUACGCGGACCCCGUUUCAGACGCUGGCUGCGCCGCCAGCGGAUCGCACUGUCAGAUUAGAUCUUAAUUGUGAAAUUGCAGCCUUGGCUUGGGAACCCAGCGCUUCCCCUGCUUCCACCUUUGAUCCCAUUCCCAUGUGCCGUGCUUGCUGCUCAUCCAGUCUGCAGGCCGAGUGCUGGCUUUCUUCUCCCCUGACGGCGGGGAGCCUGGUUACUUGAGCGGGAUGACACUUGACUGGCUGUGUCUUUGUUGCCUAAGCACAAGGAGGUCUUCGAGGUCAAGACUUUCCAUAAUACCAAGAUAUUUGCCUUUUAUCAUUUAUUCUUAAAAAGUGUGCGCUGAGACUACAAACUGUAAUGUUAAUGAACAGUACUAUGAACUGUACAAGUUAUUUCAAAGUCCUGUAGUUUUCCUUGUGCUUCACAAACAUGUACUUCUGUAGUGUGUUAGGUAUUUUCUCCCAAAUUUCCAAAUAUUAAAGUUUUAGAAUUUAGGAACCUUA
This is a long non-coding RNA of Lepus europaeus (European hare), 951 nucleotides long. RefSeq lists it as uncharacterized. NCBI's taxonomy places the organism in Eukaryota, Metazoa, Chordata, Mammalia, Lagomorpha, Leporidae. The record is from RefSeq and is a predicted model, not a curated record. The transcript has 2 exons.